GGGUUGUGAGGUUAAGCGAAUAAGCGUACACGGUGGAUGCCUAGGCAAUCAGAGGCGAUGAAGGACGUGCUAAUCUGCGAAAAGCGUCGGUAAGGUGAUAUGAACCGUUAUACCCGACGAUAUCCGAAUGGGGAAACCCAGUAUCCAAUGGAUACUAUCAUUAACUGAAUCCAUAGGUUAAUGAGGCGAACCGGGAGAACUGAAACAUCUCAGUACCCCGAGGAAAAGAAAUCAACCGAGAUUCCCCUAGUAGCGGCGAGCGAACGGGGAGCAGCCCAGAGUCUUAAUCAAUAGCAGUGUCAGGAGAACGGUCUGGAAAGUCCGGCAGUAAAGGGUGAUAGCCCCGUAUCUGAAGAUGCUGUUAUUGUGAACUCGACGAGUAGGGCGGGACACGUGUUAUCCUGUCUGAAUAUGGGGGACCAUCCUCCAAGGCUAAAUACUCCUGAUUGACCGAUAGUGAACCAGUACCGUGAGGGAAAGGCGAAAAGAACCCCGGCGAGGGGAGUGAAAAAGAACCUGAAACCGUGUACGUACAAGCAGUAGGAGCCUCUUUAUGGGGUGACUGCGUACCUUUUGUAUAAUGGGUCAGCGACUUAUAUUCUGUAGCAAGGUUAACCGUAUAGGGGAGCCGUAGGGAAACCGAGUCUUAACUGGGCGAAUGAGUUGCAGGGUAUAGACCCGAAACCCGGUGAUCUAUCCAUGGGCAGGUUGAAGGUUGGGUAACACUAACUGGAGGACCGAACCGACUAAUGUUGAAAAAUUAGCGGAUGACUUGUGGAUGGGGGUGAAAGGCCAAUCAAACCGGGAGAUAGCUGGUUCUCCCCGAAAGCUAUUUAGGUAGCGCCUCGUGAACUCAUCUUCGGGGUAGAGCACUGUUUCGACUAGGGGGUCAUCCCGACUUACCAACUCGAUGCAAACUGCGAAUACCGAAGAAUGUUAUCACGGGAGACACACGGCGGGUGCUAACGUCCGUCGUGAAGAGGGAAACAACCCAGACCGCCAGCUAAGGUCCCAAAGUCAUGGUUAAGUGGGAAACGAAGUGGGAAGGCUCAGACAGCCAGGAUGUUGGCUUAGAAGCAGCCAUCAUUUAAAGAAAGCGUAAUAGCUCACUGGUCGAGUCGGCCCGCGCGGAAGAUGUAACGGGGCUAAACCAUGCACCGAAGCUGCGGCAGCGACACAAAGUGUUGUUGGGUAGGGGAGCGUUCUGUAAGCCUGCGAAGGUGUACUGUGAGGUAUGCUGGAGGUAUCAGAAGUGCGAAUGCUGACAUAAGUAACGAUAAUGCGGGUGAAAAACCCGCACGCCGGAAGACCAAGGGUUCCUGUCCAACGUUAAUCGGGGCAGGGUGAGUCGACCCCUAAGGCGAGGCUGAAAAGCGUAGUCGAUGGGAAACGGGUUAAUAUUCCCGUACUGGUGGUAACUGCGAUGGGGGAACGGAGAAGGCUAGGUUGUCCGGGCGACGGUCGUCCCGGUUCAAGCAGGUAGGCAGAGUGAUUAGGCAAAUCCGGUCACUUAAUGCUGAGAUGUGAUGACGAACCACUAAGGUGGUGAAGCAAUUGAUGCCCCGCUUCCAGGAAAAGCCUCUAAGCUUCAGGUUACCAACAAUCGUACCCCAAACCGACACAGGUGGUCAGGUAGAGAAUACUCAGGCGCUUGAGAGAACUCGGGUGAAGGAACUAGGCAAAAUGGUGCCGUAACUUCGGGAGAAGGCACGCUGGCGGUAGGUAAAGUCCCUCGCGGACGGCGCUGAAGCCAGUCGAAGAUACCAGCUGGCUGCAACUGUUUAUUAAAAACACAGCACUGUGCAAACACGAAAGUGGACGUAUACGGUGUGACGCCUGCCCGGUGCUGGAAGGUUAAUUGAUGGGGUUAGCGCAAGCGAAGCUCCUGAUCGAAGCCCCAGUAAACGGCGGCCGUAACUAUAACGGUCCUAAGGUAGCGAAAUUCCUUGUCGGGUAAGUUCCGACCUGCACGAAUGGCGUAAUGAUGGCCAGGCUGUCUCCACCCGAGACUCAGUGAAAUUGAACUCGCUGUGAAGAUGCAGUGUACCCGCGGCAAGACGGAAAGACCCCGUGAACCUUUACUAUAGCUUGACACUGAACAUUGAGCCUUGAUGUGUAGGAUAGGUGGGAGGCUUUGAAGUGUGGACGCCAGUCUGCAUGGAGCCAACCUUGAAAUACCACCCUUUAACGUUUGAUGUUCUAACCUAGGCCCAUAAACUGGGUCGGGGACCGUGUCUGGUGGGUAGUUUGACUGGGGCGGUCUCCUCCUAAAGAGUAACGGAGGAGCACGAAGGUUGGCUAAGCAUGGUCGGACAUCAUGCGGUUAGUGCAAAGGCAUAAGCCAGCUUGACUGCGAGAGUGACGGCUCGAGCAGGUACGAAAGUAGGUCUUAGUGAUCCGGUGGUUCUGAAUGGAAGGGCCAUCGCUCAACGGAUAAAAGGUACUCCGGGGAUAACAGGCUGAUACCGCCCAAGAGUUCAUAUCGACGGCGGUGUUUGGCACCUCGAUGUCGGCUCAUCACAUCCUGGGGCUGAAGUAGGUCCCAAGGGUAUGGCUGUUCGCCAUUUAAAGUGGUACGCGAGCUGGGUUUAGAACGUCGUGAGACAGUUCGGUCCCUAUCUGCCGUGGGCGUUGGAAGAUUGAGAGGGGUUGCUCCUAGUACGAGAGGACCGGAGUGAACGCACCACUGGUGUUCGGGUUGUCAUGCCAAUGGCAUUGCCCGGUAGCUAAGUGCGGAAGAGAUAACCGCUGAAAGCAUCUAAGCGGGAAACUUGCCUCGAGAUGAGUCUUCCCUGUCGCUUUAAGCGACCUAAAGGAACGUUUAAGACUAAGACGUUGAUAGGCUGGGUGUGUAAGCGUAGCGAUACGUUGAGCUAACCAGUACUAAUGAACCGUGAGGCUUAACCUGACAACACCGAAAGUGUUUUG
This 2928-nucleotide ribosomal RNA is filed under the name Proteus mirabilis. RNAcentral describes it as "bacterial LSU rRNA". It matches the Rfam family "Bacterial large subunit ribosomal RNA". Lineage: Bacteria; Pseudomonadati; Pseudomonadota; Gammaproteobacteria; Enterobacterales; Morganellaceae. The record is from RNAcentral.